GAGUUUGAUCGUGGCUCAGGAUGAACGCUGGCGGCGUGCUUAACACAUGCAAGUCGAACGGAGAGCUAAUGACAGAGGAUUCGUCCAAUGGAAUUAGUUUCUUAGUGGCGGACGGGUGAGUAACGCGUGAGGAACCUGCCUCGGAGUGGGGAAUAACACAGUGAAAAUUGUGCUAAUACCGCAUGAUGCAGUUGAGUCGCAUGGCUCUGACUGCCAAAGAUUUAUCGCUCUGAGAUGGCCUCGCGUCUGAUUAGCUAGUUGGCGGGGUAACGGCCCACCAAGGCGACGAUCAGUAGCCGGACUGAGAGGUUGGCCGGCCACAUUGGGGACUGAGACACGGCCCAGACUCCUACGGGAGGCAGCAGUGGGAAUAUUGGGCAAUGGGCGCAAGCCUGACCCAGCAACGCCGCGUGAAGGAAGAAGGCCCUCGGGUUGUAAACUUCUUUUGUCAGGGACGAAGCAAGUGACGGUACCUGACGAAUAAGCCACGGCUAACUACGUGCCAGCC
Molecule: ribosomal RNA, 508 nt
Filed under: uncultured bacterium
Lineage: Bacteria
Description: bacterial SSU rRNA
Rfam family: Bacterial small subunit ribosomal RNA
Source: RNAcentral